UUUAAUGGAGUUCCUGAAGAUAAAGAAAAUAAAUAGAAGCAAAGCAGUCAUUCCCAGUGUGGAUUGGAGAAUUUCAACAAUUGAAUAUCUUUUUUUUUCCAUUGUGUUAAUUCUACGUAUUAUAUUGAAACAGAAUAGUUAUAAGAAUUGUACCAUCAUUGUCGAUGAUUCCAUCAUCAAUUAGCUUUUGGGUACUAAACAGCAGGCACAAUGCAGCUGCUGAUGCAGGCCAAAAUACGGCUCGCCGGAUUUUCAUCUUUUUUGCUACUUCUAGAGCCCAUCCCAUACUCUCAUCAGCUAUGACACAGUCCCAGGGUUCCAUCCCAUCUGGAAUUGAGACUAAAGUAAUCUGGUCAUCAAGAUCCUCCUUGUCUGCCAAGGCCUUCAUGACCCUACUGUGAAUAUACUCUGUAAUUACAAAUGUGACUUUGAAACCUGUUUCAGCAAGCUUAGUGAGAGUUCCAUCAAAGGAAUCACAUGGCCUUGUGCUGGGUAUGGUAUGGCUAGAAUAUGUGGCUUGCCCAUGUUUUUCUUUGUAGUCUCUAUUUUCCUCUUUUUUUCUUUGCAGUUGUGAGAUGAUUCUUGACAGAAGUUUCUUUUAGCUCAACUUAUGCACUUAUACAAAUCUUGGAACCAAUGGUCAUGAUGGGUCCAAAAACCAGUGAUAUGUCUUGGAAUUGGGGGACUCGUACAAUAAAAUGCUCUGCUGCAAGUUGGUAUUUGCAAGAAUCAAUAAGCCAGAAAACAGAUGUCCUAGGACGCCAUCGAUAUAUUUUAGAAUAAGGCCCCCUGCUUAAGGAGUGUGAAAGUUCUGUCAGCUGGGCUAUAUAAGAAGUUUUACUGGUUCUUAAUCACGAACUCUAUUCAGACAUAACCAAGGUCUUCUUUACAGUUCAGGCAAUAUCACUUUCGGGAACAAUCGAGAACAAAAUUGUUAAAGUGAAGCUGGCAAAUGCAACAACAUAGAUGACAGAGUUCGGUGCCUUUUGGUCCGGCCAUGCUAAACAACUCGAGUCUUCUGGCCAGAAGUAUCCAAUUGAGUCGCCUAACCAGCUACUUCCAAAAGUGGUUCUAUUAGCAGAAUCUUUGGGGCAAAAGUGAAUGCUCCAGGCUCGAGAUUAUAUAUUGAAAGGUUAAUUACAAACCGCCCAGUCUGGCACUUUGAUUACCUUGUUGGUUUUAAUCAUGAGAUCCUAUAUUAUUUUCUGCAUAGUGAAGUCACCGAUGCAGCCCCAUACAGGAUUUGCAGUGUUCAUUUCAGGCGUUUCUGGAGCCAACUGAAUUAUCUGCUUCUUCAGUGGAGUUCCUUCCUGAGAUUAAAAUUAAAAGAGACAAACCACUGCAAGUCCUCUCAGUUGGCUCCUAGUAGCACCCGUCAAUUGAUAACCAAUUCUUAUCAUCUGCAUUCCGUUAUUCUUCAGUUGAAGCUCCAAAGUUGACUUAUCAAUCCUACUUGGCCUGCCAUCGCUUAAUGCAGAGUGAAUAGUUUCCAGGAUUAUUUGAUCUUGAGAUGUGCUGCAAUAUAACUAACAUUUUCGGUGCUCUCUGUUACUAUGUUGCAUAUUCUGAUAACCCAAGAUCUUUUAAUCCUGAUACUUAUAUACUGAGAAAUGAAACUAUUAAAAAUUUAUCUGAAUUGUUUAUCGGCAUUAUUCAAUCCUGAACUGCUGUGUUCUUUUAUUCUGAAAUUUGUCCAAUCAAUUUAUUAUAUGGCAACAGAAUACUUAAAAAGGUUGGUAAUAGACGAUAUUCUCAUCAUCCUUGUCAAUGAUUCUAUCAUCAAUAAGCUUCUGGAUACUAAAUAUUGAGAUCAGUAGACAGGCUGAAGCAGGCAAAUGGACAGCAAGGUGGAUUUUCAUCUUUUCUGACACUUCCAAGAGUCCAUGCCAUACUCCAAUCAGCAAUGACACAGGUUUCUAAGCAAUCGAAGUCAACAAAAAAGACGGAAUGCAAAUAAAGUAAAACUCUAUCAAAGGGAAACAUUUGAUAUUCAACUGAUACAAUUGCUGUUAUGCUGCAAUUACAAGUGACAGAAGAAAGAAAAUAAAUUGAAGUUGCAUAAGCUAUGAAUGACAUGCUUAAAUCUGCAUCCCUUCAAUGAAAUGCUUCAAGAUCUUGCUGGAAUAACCAUAUUCUCCGACAUUUAUCAUGGCUAUUUCUUUCAAUUCUGAAGCUCUUGCAAUAACUCCUUCAUCACUUAGAACUUUCCCCACCUUAUCCUUAAUUUCUUCUCGUGUGAUGAUUCCACUUUUACUUUUAUUAAACUUCAAUCCCACUUUCCAAACAUCACAAAUGUAGCUCUCAUUGAGGAAUUGAUCAGCAAAGUAUGGCCAACACAAGAAAGGGACACCAUUAGCUACACCUUCCAUGGUGGAGUUCCAACCACAAUGGCUCAAAAAGCAGGCAAUAGAAGGGUGAUUUAGAACCUUCUGCUGAGGUGCCCAUCCAACCAUCUGCCCUCGGCUGCCGACUCUCUCUAGAAAUCCUUCUGGAUAGGCAUUUGUAUCAGUGUGAAGCUGCCAAAUGCAACAUAUAUAACUGACUUGGGUGGCUGUUGGUCCAGCCAUUUCAAACAAGUCAAGUCUUUCUGCCAGAAAUAUCCUGCUGAAUCUCCUUGUCGACUGCUUGCCAGCAUUGGUCCUAUCGGCAGAAUCUUUGGGCUCAAGGUCAAUGCUCCAGGCUCAAGGCAUUGUUGGAUCCAUCUGAAUUAUCUGGUUCUUCAGUGGCGUUCCUGCAGAGAAUCAAAAUAUGAAAUUGUGUUGGUUGAGAUCAAUUGGUGAAACUGUCCUACCACUAGUCACUGCUAGUAAUGAAUGCUAGUCCUACUUGUCAAGUAAAUAAGGAGGACAGCAGGGCAGCUGAUGCAGGCCAAAAGGCAGCGCAGCGGAUGUUCAUCUUCUCUGCCACUUCAAGAGCCCAUCCAUUAUUCGCAUCAGCAAUGAUACAAUUAACUUCCCAAGAUCAUUCCUAUCUUCCCAAAGCUCCAGCCCAUCUGGGAUCGAAACAAGACUAAUUUGAUCUCCAAGAAAAUCGUUGCCCAAUGCAUUCAAGACCCUCUUGUGAUUAUAGUCUGUGUUCACAAAUGUGAUUUCGAAUCCAUGCUUUACUAAGCAUUGUGAGAGUUCCAGCAUGGGAAUUACAUGGCCUUGUGCCGGAUAAGAUAUGAGACUGUAUGUCCUUUCAAUAUUCAGUUUCUUGCUACUUUAUAUAAAUAUUCGAGAAGCGACUAAUCCAGAAUGCAAUCCUGAUGGCCGUUUGUCUCGAUGUGCAUCGGUGAUGAUCUGAAUCUUGGAAUUGGGAAUCUAACAUCCUAGUUAACUUAUAUUUCUAACUAGGUUACUGGAUGUUUGGCUUUAUGUAUCUGUUCUUCUUCUUGUUCUUGGGUUUUAUCCUGGUUGUCUUUUGGUGUUUGUUCCAUAUCUAAUGUCUAUAUCAAUCUGUCUUGUCGAGGAUUACAAAGAGGAAAACUCAGUGGAGAAGUUGCAAUUUAAAAUGGCAUAGAACUUUCAAUCUGUCAUCUUGGUCAUAUAAGAACUCGUACAAGUUAAUUUACAUCAAGGCUGGCAUAAAAACCUCAGCCAGCCACCCAUGCAUUGUGCGAUGCUUUCAACUGUACAUGGCGGCACUUCUGGUGCUCAAUGACCAGAUCAUUGGGUCUUUUUGACAGUAUUAUCAUAACUUCUGUUGAUAAUAUUUAGAGCCGCUGGAAUAUAUUUGAUUACAAGUAAUUGCAACAGCUUGUAAAGGGGUAGUUUCUGAAAGACAAUUUUCAAGAUAAAUUAUGGAGAUGGGGGCUUUGUGGGGGAGCCUGGAGCAGCAUUACAAGCUUUCACAAGUUGAAGAGAAUGAAUAUUUCGUACAAGUAUAUACUUAUCUUUCAACUGUAUUUAGGAGCGGGGGAUUGCUAUAUUCUGGACCCGGUACACAAUGCAUCAUGUAUCCAGGACUAAAUACACGUGUAUAUUAAUAGUCAAUUAAAUUAGGUGGUUUUAUAAUUAUAAAA
This is a long non-coding RNA of Ricinus communis (castor bean), 4003 nucleotides long. RefSeq lists it as uncharacterized. The record is from RefSeq and is a predicted model, not a curated record. The transcript has 12 exons. NCBI's taxonomy places the organism in Eukaryota, Viridiplantae, Streptophyta, Magnoliopsida, Malpighiales, Euphorbiaceae.